AGUGAACGCUGGCGGUAGGCCUAACACAUGCAAGUCGAACGGCAGCACAGUAAGAGCUUGCUCUUACGGGUGGCGAGUGGCGGACGGGUGAGGAAUACAUCGGAAUCUACUUUUUCGUGGGGGAUAACGUAGGGAAACUUACGCUAAUACCGCAUACGACCUACGGGUGAAAGCAGGGGAUCUUCGGACCUUGCGCGAUUGAAUGAGCCGAUGUCGGAUUAGCUAGUUGGCGGGGUAAAGGCCCACCAAGGCGACGAUCCGUAGCUGGUCUGAGAGGAUGAUCAGCCACACUGGAACUGAGACACGGUCCAGACGCCUACGGGAGGCAGCAGUGGGGAAUAUUGGACAAUGGGCGCAAGCCUGAUCCAGCCAUACCGCGUGGGUGAAGAAGGCCUUCGGGUUGUAAAGCCCUUUUGUUGGGAAAGAAAAGCAGCAGGUUGAUACCCCGCUGUUCUGACGGUACCCAAAGAAUAAGCACCGGCUAACUUCGUG
RNAcentral lists this ribosomal RNA (492 nucleotides) under uncultured bacterium. RNAcentral's name for it is "partial 16S ribosomal RNA". It matches the Rfam family "Bacterial small subunit ribosomal RNA", at positions 29 to 507 of the family's 1533-position model. The record is from RNAcentral.